UUCUUGGUCAUUUAGAGGAAGUAAAAGUCGUAACAAGGUCUCCGUUGGUGAACCAGCGGAGGGAUCAUUACCAGAGAAAUUGAAUCUCUAUUCUGUGAACGUACUACUGGUAGUUGCCUUGGCGAGCAGCUCCGGGGAGGAGCCUCUACCAUUUAUGGUGCUCGCCAAUUGCAGUAAAUACAUGGACUUUUGGCUACGAAAACUCCCAAAAAGAUUUACAAAACUUUCAACAAUGGAUCUCUUGGCUCUGGCAUCGAUGAAGAACGCAGCGAAACGCGAUAUGUAAUGUGAAUUGCAGAACUCAGUGAAUCAUCGAAUCUUUGAACGCACAUUGCACUACUUAGUAUUCUAGGUAGUAUGCCUAUUCGAGCGUCAUAACAAAUCGCCUAGGCUCUAUGCCUAGUAAUAGAGGAUUAUAGCUGCUAUAACCUC
This 432-nucleotide unclassified non-coding RNA is filed under the name Ascomycota sp. SB16. Its description in RNAcentral is "sequence contains 18S rRNA gene, ITS1, 5.8S rRNA gene, ITS2 and 28S rRNA gene". The stretch from base 222 to 375 matches the Rfam family "5.8S ribosomal RNA". Lineage: Eukaryota; Fungi; Ascomycota. The record is from RNAcentral.